Long non-coding RNA from Zophobas morio, 576 nucleotides. RefSeq lists it as uncharacterized. The record is from RefSeq and is a predicted model, not a curated record. NCBI's taxonomy places the organism in Eukaryota, Metazoa, Arthropoda, Insecta, Coleoptera, Tenebrionidae. The transcript is spliced from 2 exons.
UGGCCCAAAAAGGCUGCAAAUUUCAAAGGGGAAAAAUUGAGCCUUUGAAAAAAAGUUGCCUAAAAAUCCAAAAAAAUUCAGGGAAGAAUCUCCUAGGUUAAUUUUUGAAAGUAAUUCAAAAGAGAUUUUGGAGAAUUGUUCGAUUUGAAAGUCAAUUUUUUUGAAAAACUGACAGUUUGGAGAAAAUGGUAAGAAUUUUCGAAGAAAUGAAGCCGAAAAUAACUUCUCGAGGUCGAAAUGUACUAAAAAAUAUCUUUAGAUAAUUUUCUAAAGAGGACGAGAAAAGGUUAAAAAUUUCAUAAUUUUUCAUAUUUCGUUGAAAAAUUUUAUUAACUAAAAUCGCUAACAGACCGACAAACGGAAACGGAAGACCAACAUUUCCGUCUCCUGUAAAUGAUGAAAUGUCAACAAAUCCUGAAACCACGCUGAAGAAUAUAACAACAGACAACAAGAGACGGUUAAAUAUUUUAGAUAAGGAAAUUCCUAGGGACUUUAAUAACCACCAACUGUUGCGUGUGACGUCACGUAUAUUACUAAAAUAUGUGUCAAUGUGCAAUAAACAUGUCAAACAACAAA